This 392-nucleotide small RNA is filed under the name Pan troglodytes (chimpanzee). RNAcentral's name for it is "processed transcript". Lineage: Eukaryota; Metazoa; Chordata; Mammalia; Primates; Hominidae. The record is from RNAcentral.
CUCGGUGCGGAGAAGAUGUGCCCCUCCGAUCCCCAAGCCGUGACCCCCCUCACCCAGACCCGGCCAAUCCCUCGCCCGAGGCGAGCGGGAGGAUGCGGUUCUAGGACCCGGAGGCGCCGCCGAGCGCGCCGCCGCCUCGGCCUCGCCUCGGUGGCCUCCCGCUCCGGCAGGUGAAGCGGCGCCGGCCGCCCCCUCUGCGGCAGCUCGCCGCCCGGUCCCACGGACGGGGCCGCCCCGAUGGGACGCCGCGCUCCGGCCCCUGCGCGCCGCUGAGCCGAGCGCCCCCGCCGCCGAGACCCCCGCCGCCGCCGCCAGCCGCUGCCCCCUCGCCCCCGCCCGGGUCGGGAGCCUCGUCCCCGUCCCCCGGAAAGCUGGAUUUCCGAGGCUGGAGG